AGCGAUUACCUGCUCACCCAGCCCUGAUGUAAUUAAAAAUGGCAGGCUAGGGGCUCUGUUUCCCCCGGCUCUGGCAGAGAAACCUGGGUUUCGACUUGUGAAGCUUGAGGUUGGAUGUGGGAAUUGGCUUGGAGUCAUAGGCGAUGAGAGGGACAUUAGGAUAUUAUGAAGCCCGUGAACUCAACUCCUGAGAAGGACGCAGCAGAGCGAGAGAAAAGAUGGAAUAAAAAGGCCUACCUCAUUGGGCUCGUGUGGGUGAGGAGAACUGAAGAGUCUGAGAGCGCGGCACGAGCCAGAGGCUACGGAAAACACUGCCCUCCUACACUCCACCUUGGAGAGACCCAGAAAAGAACAAGCUUCAUUUGUAAAAAAGGAAAACAACUCAGGCAAUGGGGGUGGCUUAAAGGCACUCUACAGUGUGCAGAUGCCUUCCACUUCUUCCAUCUGCCCUGUCUCUCCAAGAACCCCUAUGGCCCCGGUCUCAGAACAGAGCUGAGUGCAGAAAUGAAAAUCUAUGGCUCUGUGUUCCAAAACGAUGAAGAAUUUCAAGAUGGUGGCAGUGGUAAAAUCUUUCUCCAGGAAAAAUCUGUCCUUGGCCCAAUGUGUAAACACUUGCUGAGUGGAGUACCUGUACCAACAUGAAAUGACACGAAUUUAAGUGACGCUCAACAACGAAAAGCAAAAAGAACCAAAGAGGAAGCAACUGAAACAACAUCUGGAUGUAUUUAAAAAUAUACAAUGCCUCCAAAAUCAGGUGUCAUUAAUGAAAAUUCUGAAGAAAUGCCACCGGACAUAGCCAACGCACCUACGCUGUUGUUAUUCAUUUCCUGCUUUUCACAGAAAACAAUUUUGUUGCAUGGAAGAUCGUGAACUUCAAAGGGCAGAGGGGAAACUGUCCCUUGGCCUCUACCCCUCCAAGGCCCCACUUUUUUGUCAACACUCCUUGGACGCAGCAGAAGUAUGAACAUAAUAUGGUCCUGAAUGAGGCUGAGUCUUUGGGCGCAGAAGACCCGGGUUAAUAAAAAUAGGAAGGUAAGAAAAGAAAAGAAAAAUCAAGACACAUCAUAGGACUAAAUUCCUAUUAUUUAUCCACUCAGGAUUGACCACCCCUUUGGGCCAGAUAGUUGUACCCCCAUGUACCAGGUGGGCACAUGAAGACACAAGAAGUGCUGUGAUGGUUCAUUUUGCACGUCACCUUGCGUGGAGUAUGCCAACUCAUUGUUUGGUCAAACACUAGUCUGGACAUGGUGGUAAAGGUAUUUUUUAGAUGAGAUUAACACUUAAAUCAGUAAAGCAGGUUACCCACCAUACUACGGGUGGGCCCUGUCCAAUCAGUUGAAGGCAUUAAGAACAAAGAUUGAGGUUUCCUAAAGAAGAUGGAAUUCUCCUUGAGACUACAACAUAGAAACCCUAUCUGAGUUUCCAGCCUGUUGCCCUGUGGAAUUCAAACUCAGGACUCCGGUCUAUGACAUUAACCCUCACUUAACUUUUCAGCCUGCCAGCCUGCCCUAUGGAUUUCGGACUUGCCAGCCACACAAUUCCUUAAAAUAAAUCUCUCCGUC
This is a long non-coding RNA of Homo sapiens (human), 1562 nucleotides long. Ensembl annotates it as downregulated RNA in cancer, inhibitor of cell invasion and migration. Its record names the gene DRAIC. NCBI's taxonomy places the organism in Eukaryota, Metazoa, Chordata, Mammalia, Primates, Hominidae. The record is from Ensembl.